Molecule: ribosomal RNA, 174 nt
Filed under: uncultured bacterium
Lineage: Bacteria
Description: partial 16S ribosomal RNA
Rfam family: Bacterial small subunit ribosomal RNA
Source: RNAcentral
CAUGAAGCUGGAUUCGCUGUAAUCGCGCAUCAGCCACGGCGCGGUGAAUACGUUCCCGGGCCCUUGUACACACCGCCCGUCAAGCCAUGGAAGCCGGGAGUGCCUGAAGUGCGUGACCGCAAGGAGCGUCCUAAGGCAAUACCGGUGACUGGGGCUAAGUCGUAACAAGGUACC